UGGGGAAUCAUGGUCAAUGGGCGAAAGCCUGAACCUGCGACGCCGCGUGAGUGAUGAAGGUCGUAAGAUCGUAAAACUCUUUUCAGGGAUCUUAAAGCACAACCGUCAACAACGGCUGUGUGUGACUCUCCCUGGAAGAAGCCCCAGCCAACUACGCGCCAGCAGCUGCGGUAAUACGCAGGGGGCGAGCGUUAUUCGGAAUUACUGGGGGUAAAGGGUAUGUAGGCGGCCCUGCAAGUCGGGUGUCAAAGUCCAGGGCUCAA
RNAcentral lists this ribosomal RNA (263 nucleotides) under uncultured prokaryote. RNAcentral describes it as "partial 16S ribosomal RNA". It matches the Rfam family "Bacterial small subunit ribosomal RNA", at positions 355 to 612 of the family's 1533-position model. The record is from RNAcentral.